GACGAACGCUGGCGGCGUGCCUAAUACAUGCAAGUAGAACGCACAGUUUAUACCGUAGCUUGCUACACCAUAGACUGUGAGUUGCGAACGGGUGAGUAACGCGUAGGUAACCUGCCUGGUAGCGGGGGAUAACUAUUGGAAACGAUAGCUAAUACCGCAUAAUAUUAAUUAUUGCAUGAUAAUUAAUUGAAAGGUGCAAUUGCACCACUACCAGAUGGACCUGCGUUGUAUUAGCUAGUAGGUGAGGUAACGGCUCACCUAGGCGACGAUACAUAGCCGACCGGCGAGGGUGAUCGGCCACACUGGGACUGAGACACGGCCCAGACUCCUACGGGAGGCAGCAGUAGGGAAUCUUCGGCAAUGGACGGAAGUCUGACCGAGCAACGCCGCGGGAGUGAAGAAGGGUUUCGGAUCGUAAAGCUCUGUUGUAAGAGAAGAACGGGUGUGAGAGUGGAAAGUGCACACUGUGACGGUAUCUUACCAGAAAGGGACGGCUAACUACGUG
RNAcentral lists this ribosomal RNA (505 nucleotides) under uncultured bacterium. RNAcentral describes it as "partial 16S ribosomal RNA". It matches the Rfam family "Bacterial small subunit ribosomal RNA", at positions 28 to 507 of the family's 1533-position model. The record is from RNAcentral.